UGGAAAAUAAAAAUUAGUAGAAUGACCAUAAAGACUGGGAAAAGGGAAAGAAAAGAGCAGGCAAGGAGGAAAAUCAAGAUAAAAAAUAAUGCUAAGCUUGGGCAUCAAGAAGGUAAUUUUCAAAAAGUUUUAUUUAAUCUUUCAAGAAAUGUUUAUUGAGCUUUCCAAGUAUCAGGCCUUACUUUAGGUAUUUAAGUUGUAGUUGCUUUCAAAAACUCUCUUUCUUCAUAGAGCUUACAUUCUAGGCUGGGGAAUUCAGGCAAUAAAUAGGAUAAGCAAGUAAAAUGUAUGGUAUGUUGGAUAAUGAUAAGUGGUUAGCAGAGGAAUGAAGUGGGGUCGUGUGGGUAGAGCAUGUAACAUCAGGUGGACUGGGCCAGGAAGACUUUACCGAGUAAGGAUCUGAAGAAAGUGAAGUGAAUAAGCUAUGGUUAUUUUGCUUCCUAGUUCAUGGGGGAAAUGAAAGCACUCAGAAGAACAGUCCAGGCAGGGAGACUAGCAAGUUCAAAGCUUCAUAGAUGGGAGCAUGCCUGAUAUAUUCAAGGAAAGGCUAGGAAACCAGUAAAGCUACAAUGGGAUAAAUGAAGAGGAGGAGAGAAGGAGGGGAGAUGACAAAAAAGACUUUGGAAGAUGUUAAGCAGAGAGUGCCAUAUGACAUACUUGAAUAUGAUAAUUUUAUUGCUGUUUCAACAGAAUCUAAAAAAGAGCAAGGACAGAAAAAGGAAGAGCAGCAAGGAUGCUACUGCACCAACCCAGGGAUCGAACUCGGGAACUUGUGCUUGCGAGGCAGGCGGCGGAAUCGCUGAGCUAAAUCCCUGGCCCCAUGCAAGUAAUUUUUGCACAUAUCUCAGUUCUUCAGGGAUCCUGUUGAAGAUCGGACGGCCCAGGGAUAACUCCUCAAUGCCACCCUUCUCAUUCAAGUGCUCUCAUUCUGUUUGACAGUGAACUCUGAAGAUCCAUCUUCUGAAACCAGAUUCAAGGGACU
Heterocephalus glaber (naked mole-rat) is the source of this 982-nucleotide long non-coding RNA. The record is from Ensembl. NCBI's taxonomy places the organism in Eukaryota, Metazoa, Chordata, Mammalia, Rodentia, Bathyergidae.